AUAGAGUCAAGUGAAUAAGUGCAUCAGGCGGAUGCCUUGGCGAUGAUAGGCGACGAAGGACGUGUAAGCCUGCGAAAAGCGCGGGGGAGCCGGCAAUAAAGCAAUGAUUCCGCGAUGUCCGAAUGGGGAAACCCACUGCAUUCUGUGCAGUAUCCUAAGUUGAAUACAUAGACUUAGAGAAGCGAACCCGGAGAACUGAACCAUCUAAGUACCCGGAGGAAAAGAAAUCAACCGAGAUUCCGCAAGUAGUGGCGAGCGAACGCGGAGGAGCCUGUACGUAAUAACUGUCGAGAUAGAAGAACAAGCUGGGAAGCUUGACCAUAGUGGGUGACAGUCCCGUAUUCGAAAUCUCAACAGCGGUACUAAGCGUACGAAAAGUAGGGCGGGACACGUGAAAUCCUGUCUGAAUAUGGGGGGACCAUCCUCCAAGGCUAAAUACUCAUCAUCGACCGAUAGUGAACCAGUACCGUGAGGGAAAGGCGAAAAGAACCCCGGGAGGGGAGUGAAACAGAAACCUGAAA
Molecule: ribosomal RNA, 521 nt
Filed under: Neisseria meningitidis
Lineage: Bacteria; Pseudomonadati; Pseudomonadota; Betaproteobacteria; Neisseriales; Neisseriaceae
Description: bacterial LSU rRNA
Rfam family: Bacterial large subunit ribosomal RNA
Source: RNAcentral